GCGUAUGCAACUUGCCCUGCACAGGAGGAUAACCCGUCGAAAGACGGACUAAUACUGCGUACACUCACUGAGAGGCAUCUUUUGGUGAGGAAAGAAAAUCGGUGUAGGAUAGGCAUGCGUCCCAUUAGCUAGUUGGUGAGGUAACGGCUCACCAAGGCGACGAUGGGUAGGGGAACUGAGAGGUUUAUCCCCCACACUGGUACUGAGACACGGACCAGACUCCUACGGGAGGCAGCAGUGAGGAAUAUUGGUCAAUGGGCGAGAGCCUGAACCAGCCAAGUCGCGUGAAGGAAGACUGUCUUAUGGAUUGUAAACUUCUUUUGUAUGGGAAUAACGGGGCGGACGUGUCCGCUUGUGAAUGUACCAUACGAAUAAGCAUCGGCUAACUCCGUGCCAGCAGCCGCGGUAAUACGGAGGAUGCGAGCGUUAUCCGGAUUUAUUGGGUUUAAAGGGUGCGUAGGCGGCUUGUUAAGUCAGCGGUGAAAUCUUGGGGCUUAACCCCGAAACUGCCGUUGAAACUGGCGAGCUUGAGUGUAGAUGAGGUAGGCGGAAUUCGUGGUGUAGCGGUGAAAUGCAUAGAUAUCACGAGGAACUCCGAUUGCGUAGGCAGCUUACUAAGUUACAACUGACGCUGAUGCACGAAAGCGUGGGUAUCAAACAGGAUUAGAUACCCUGGUAGUCCACGCAGUAAACGAUGAUAACUGGGCGUAUGCGAUAUACAGUAUGCUCCUAAGCGAAAGCGU
This 743-nucleotide ribosomal RNA is filed under the name uncultured Porphyromonas sp. RNAcentral describes it as "bacterial SSU rRNA". It matches the Rfam family "Bacterial small subunit ribosomal RNA", at positions 115 to 860 of the family's 1533-position model. The record is from RNAcentral. Lineage: Bacteria; Pseudomonadati; Bacteroidota; Bacteroidia; Bacteroidales; Porphyromonadaceae.